Lagopus leucura (white-tailed ptarmigan) is the source of this 144-nucleotide long non-coding RNA. RefSeq lists it as uncharacterized. The transcript is spliced from 2 exons. The record is from RefSeq and is a predicted model, not a curated record. Lineage: Eukaryota; Metazoa; Chordata; Aves; Galliformes; Phasianidae.
UCAGCCCCAGCCAGCAAAGCCUUCACAGGUUUCGUGUUGGACGCCGACAGCCCUGGGAUCCACGUGGGGCGGAAGGAGCUGAACAUGGGGCAGCGCUGCUCGGACACGAGAGGCAUCGUCUUCGAAGACGUGAGGAUCCCCAAG